UAAUGACAGAUUGCCGUGCUUAUAUAGCUAAGAAGGGAUGCAUAGCGUGGAAUCAAACAUGGCCGAUGGUGGCGAACCAAAGACCACUAGGUGACUCGAACAUUGCUGAUGGAGGCUGCAAACGGGUUAAGCUCAUCGGGAUGCAGAGUUGUCCACAUGUUGUGACCCUGGUUAAUGCUCUAAGAGGGAGCACCACGUCACCCAGAACAACAAACCAUGCAGACCCACUGCACAACUGCAACUGAACAGGCUCUAUGAGUGACCAGGGCAGCGAGGGUGAGGCUGGCUGUGUCCAGAUGCUAGAGGAGGAGGAGCUGGAGGGGAGGCAGAGCUGCGAUGGAGGAGUGGUCGAGGACGAUGAUUUUGACGACGACGGAGAGCCCAGAUUGUGCCGGGUGUGUGGGGACAAUGCCACCGGUUACCACUUCAACGCCAUGACUUGUGAAGGCUGCAAGGGCUUCUUCAGGCGAGUCUCCUAGAUAUUCAGUGCUAUUUCCAUUCACAAACUGACUCUAUAAUAUGCAGAAUAUAAUUGAAUGGUUUCACAGACCCUGAUUAGCACUAAUCUUGGAUACCUAAUGUUACCAUUGAUAAGAUUCUGUAAUCCAAGAUUCGUGCAAAUCUAGGGUCUAUGCUCUAUAAUGUUUCAGUUUUACCCUGCUUUUCUUAUAGUUACAAUAUGCAUUUACCAUGGUUUGCCAAGGUUUUUUUUACAUAUCCCUUACUAUACUUCUCUGAACUUUACAAUGCUUACCCAUGCUUUACCAUGCUUUCACUAUGCUUUAUUACACAUUGCUAUGCUUUUACUUUGGUAAUCUUUUGUAAGGGUGAAAUCAGACAAAGAACUAAUAAUCAUAUACGUCUGUAUAAAGUACAGGAGUUCAAAGCCUUCUGAUUUAGCUGAUAAUAAGACUGUGUGCCGCCUGUAGUUAUUAAACACAAAUGUUUUCACUGACUGCCUCAGAACACGUUCAAAAGAACUGGCAAAAUUAUCAAAGUGAUUAAAUAAAAGCAAUUUAUGAGGAGGUUGAAAAAUUUAAAAUGUAUUAAAAUUCAAGAAAACUACAGCAAUAAUGAAAAUACUCUGAGCAAUAUACAAAAUUAAUAUGAAUGUCAGAAACUUGAAAGACUAUAGUUUAUAAUAGUAGUAAUACAAUACAAAUCAAGCUGGUACUAUUUCAAUACACCCUUUUCCCAGAAGUUCACUAAAACCAGAAGAGUGCCCCUAGGAUUA
This is a long non-coding RNA of Acipenser ruthenus (sterlet), 1234 nucleotides long. RefSeq lists it as uncharacterized. The record is from RefSeq and is a predicted model, not a curated record. NCBI's taxonomy places the organism in Eukaryota, Metazoa, Chordata, Actinopteri, Acipenseriformes, Acipenseridae. The transcript is spliced from 3 exons.